CAUGGUUCAAAAGGGAAAGGAGCAAUCCGCUGAUAGAUGGGCCUGCGUCUGAUUAGCUAGUUGGUGGGGUAACGGCCUACCAAGGCGACGAUCAGUAGCCGAACUGAGAGGUUGAACGGCCACAUUGGGACUGAGAUACGGCCCAGACUCCUACGGGAGGCAGCAGUCGGGAAUAUUGCGCAAUGGAGGAAACUCUGACGCAGUGACGCCGCGUGCAGGAAGAAGGUUUUCGGAUUGUAAACUGCUUUAGACAGGGAAGAACAAAGACAGUACCUGUAGAAUAAGCUCCGGCUAACUACGUGCCAGCAGCCGCGGUAAUACGUAGGGAGCGAGCGUUAUCCGGAUUUAUUGGGUGUAAAGGGUGCGUAGACGGGAAGUCAAGUUAGUUGUGAAAUCCCUCGGCUUAACUGAGGAACUGCAACUAAAACUGAUUUUCUUGAGUACUGGAGAGGAAAGUGGAAUUCCUAGUGUAGCGGUGAAAUGCGUAGAUAUUAGGAGGAACACCAGUGGCGAAGGCGACUUUCUGGACAGAAACUGACGUUGAGGCACGAAAGUGUGGGGAGCAAACAGGAUUAGAUACCCUGGUAGUCCACACCGUAAACGAUGGAUACGAGGUGUAGG
This 621-nucleotide ribosomal RNA is filed under the name uncultured bacterium. RNAcentral's name for it is "bacterial SSU rRNA". It matches the Rfam family "Bacterial small subunit ribosomal RNA", at positions 188 to 826 of the family's 1533-position model. The record is from RNAcentral.